AGACGCCGGGACGGGACAGACAGGAGACAGUGGAGGAAGAGGAGCGGCGUCUCCACAAAGGACAUCACACCCCUGUCCCCUCCUGCCACUCUCAGCCGUCUGGAUGGCAGACGAGGCUGGAGUCAAGCUGCAGAGGACAAAGGACGCCCUGCAGACACUUGCAGUUUCUGCCUGAAAGACAAAGACCUGGAGAGGUUUCAUGGUUUGUAAGUUUCUCUGUGGUUUAAACAACAGGUUUCUAGGGGCCUCCCUCCUCUCCUGGUCUUUACUGAACAAGAGUUCAUGAAAAUAAAACACGUUGAUAAAAGUAAA
Molecule: long non-coding RNA, 312 nt
Organism: Erinaceus europaeus (western European hedgehog)
Lineage: Eukaryota; Metazoa; Chordata; Mammalia; Eulipotyphla; Erinaceidae
Exons: 2
Source: RefSeq, a predicted model, not a curated record